ACUUCUCGCGCAGUCUCUAUGUCGUCGCACACGACCCCGUGAAUCUGCUGCAGAGUUGGCGCUUUUAUUUUCCUAGCCGUGAUUAUUGAAGCGAAGUAGCGAACGACCGAUUCCUUGGACCUGUUGACGUCUCCCAGCAGCGCGUCCAGCUGAAGCAGCCGCUCGUUCGCGCAGCACGCUAUGUGUUUCAGGCCGUCGAAGGUUACUUUUUGCAUCACGAUUACCGGGGUGUAAACUUUUCGCCUUUUGGCCCCCUGCGUCGCGGUAUUCUCUUCAUCAUCAUCCUCCUGAGCGCGAUCGUAUCGUCCACCAGCGCGAAGAGGUUGUCACCGGGAGCAUCUUUCUUCACGAAGUAUUCCUCCAGCUUCGGCAAAUUCGCAAUCAGGCU
RNAcentral lists this unclassified non-coding RNA (388 nucleotides) under Athalia rosae (coleseed sawfly). Its description in RNAcentral is "misc RNA ENSAEAG00005009535.1". The record is from RNAcentral. Lineage: Eukaryota; Metazoa; Arthropoda; Insecta; Hymenoptera; Athaliidae.